RNAcentral lists this ribosomal RNA (476 nucleotides) under uncultured Spirochaetaceae bacterium. Its description in RNAcentral is "bacterial SSU rRNA". It matches the Rfam family "Bacterial small subunit ribosomal RNA", at positions 914 to 1382 of the family's 1533-position model. Lineage: Bacteria; Pseudomonadati; Spirochaetota; Spirochaetia; Spirochaetales; Spirochaetaceae. The record is from RNAcentral.
GGACCGGGGGCCCGCACAAGCGGUGGAGCAUGUGGUUUAAUUCGAUGGUACGCGAGGAACCUUUACCUGGGUUUGACAUACAGGGGGAUGUGGCAGCGAUGUCACAGACUGGAAACAGUACCCUGUACAGGUGCUGCAUGGCUGUCGUCAGCUCGUGCCGUGAGGUGUUGGGUUAAGUCCCCGCAACGAGCGCAACCCCUACUGCCAGUUACUAACAGGUAACGCUGAGGACUCUGGCGGAACUGCCGGUGACAAACCGGAGGAAGGUGGGGAUGACGUCAAGUCAUCAUGGCCCCUAUGUCCAGGGCUACACACGUGCUACAAUGGGCGAUACAGAGUGACGCGAAGCCGCGAGGUGGAGCGAAUCCCAGAAAACCUGUCUCAGUCCGGAUUGAAGUCUGCAACUCGACUUCAUGAAGGCGGAAUCGCUAGUAACCGCGAAUCAGCAGGUCGCGGUGAAUACGUUCCCGGGCCUU